Molecule: ribosomal RNA, 564 nt
Filed under: uncultured Glomeromycotina
Lineage: Eukaryota; Fungi; Glomeromycota
Description: SSU rRNA
Rfam family: Eukaryotic small subunit ribosomal RNA
Source: RNAcentral
UUGGAGGGCAAGUCUGGUGCCAGCAGCCGCGGUAAUUCCAGCUCCAAUAGCGUAUAUUAAAGUUGUUGCAGUUAAAAAGCUCGUAGUUGAAUUUCGGGAUCAGUACGCCGGUCGUGCCUCCGGUAUGUACUGGUGUCACUGGUUCCUCCCUUCUGAAGAACCAUCAUGCUAUUAAUUUAGUGUGGUGGGAAAUCAGGACUGUUACUUUGAAAAAAUUAGAGUGUUUAAAGCAGGCUCACGCUUGAAUACAUUAGCAUGGAAUAAUGAAAUAGGACGUUGAUCCUAUUUUGUUGGUUUCUAGGAUUGACGUAAUGAUUAAUAGGGAUAGUUGGGGGCAUUAGUAUUCAAUUGUCAGAGGUGAAAUUCUUGGAUUUAUUGAAGACUAACUACUGCGAAAGCAUUUGCCAAGGAUGUUUUCAUUAAUCAAGAACGAAAGUUAGGGGAUCGAAGACGAUCAGAUACCGUCGUAGUCUUAACCAUAAACUAUGCCGACUAGGGAUCGGAUGAUGUUAAUUUUUUAAUGACUCAUUCGGCGCCUUACGGGAAACCAAAGUGUUUGGGUUC